Molecule: long non-coding RNA, 624 nt
Filed under: Dasypus novemcinctus (nine-banded armadillo)
Lineage: Eukaryota; Metazoa; Chordata; Mammalia; Cingulata; Dasypodidae
Description: lncRNA (ENSDNOG00000049879.1)
Source: RNAcentral
CCCGCCCCCAAAUCCCGUGGCCCUCUGCGGGACAUUAUUUAAGUCCCUCGCUGCGCUUUUUCGGUCUUGUUUCAUUCGCUGUUGUCUGUGAGUUGUUAUCUUCUUUUCGUGUUCUAUUUGUUUGUCUUUAUCAUUAAUGUUCGCCCCGCAGGCCUGGCUUUGGGGUGUAUUUAUUUGGUCGACUGGGUGCUGUGGAAGGGGUGGUUUCGGCCGUGGCUUUGAGGCCCCGAAGCGGCGGCGGGGAUUUUUGUAAAGGACAAAAUGGCGAUGGCGGGUUGCUGGCGGUCCUCCCUAUGAUGAGGACCUUUUCACAGACCUGUACUGAGCCCCGUGAGGAUAAGUAACUCUGAGGAGACUGCCCCUGAAAAGCCAAUGUCCUACUCUGCUGCCGCUCCGGAAGGAAAAAAAUUUGUGAAAUACCCAGUGCUAACUUUUCCUAACGUCUUGUGUUGUUCUGUUUCUUUUUGUCUGCAGGGUUCAGGCACACGUUUGAGUAGAAAAGAACCCUGCGCUGAUUGGAAUGUUCCGCUCAAAAGAGCUUACUGGUAUGAGGAUGGGGACAAGACCCUUCCGCAAAUGGCGGGUGGCACGAGGCCCUGGAAGAGCUGGUCAUAUUACGCCUAG